CGGAAGGGGCUAGCGUUGCUCGGAAUUACUGGGCGUAAAGGGCGCGUAGGCGGACGACUCAGUCAGAGGUGAAAGCCCAGGGCUCAACCCUGGAAUUGCCUUUGAUACUGGUCAUCUUGAGUACGGGAGAGGUGUGUGGAACUCCGAGUGUAGAGGUGAAAUUCGUAGAUAUUCGGAAGAACACCAGUGGCGAAGGCGACACACUGGCCCGUUACUGACGCUGAGGCGCGAAAGCGUGGGGAGCAAACAGGAUUAGAUACCCUGGUAGUCCACGCCGUAAACGAUGAGUGCUAGUUGUCGGCAUGCAUGCAUGUCGGUGACGCAGCUAACGCAUUAAGCACUCCGCCUGGGGAGUACGGUCGCAAGAUUA
This 370-nucleotide ribosomal RNA is filed under the name uncultured organism. RNAcentral describes it as "bacterial SSU rRNA". It matches the Rfam family "Bacterial small subunit ribosomal RNA", at positions 526 to 896 of the family's 1533-position model. The record is from RNAcentral.